This 307-nucleotide ribosomal RNA is filed under the name Acinetobacter sp. BIGb0102. The record is from RNAcentral. Lineage: Bacteria; Pseudomonadati; Pseudomonadota; Gammaproteobacteria; Moraxellales; Moraxellaceae.
CUCGUGAGGCUUGACUAUACAACACCCAAACAGUUGUUGUAUUCAAGAUAAAUUCAAUACAUAACUUGAUUUAGUGUAGAAACUAGUUACAAUACCGACUCAAUUAACUAAUCCGUUAAUAACUCUUUGGACCGUAAGUAAGGCAUACGAUGAAUACAUCGUGAUUAAGACCCGAAAGCACCACAACAGUUUGCUGGCGACAAUAGCAAGAGUGAACCACCUGAUCCCUUCCCGAACUCAGAAGUGAAACCUCUUAGCGCUGAUGGUAGUGUGGCACUUGCCAUGUGAGAGUAAGUCAUCGCCAGCU